Molecule: ribosomal RNA, 483 nt
Filed under: uncultured bacterium
Lineage: Bacteria
Description: partial 16S ribosomal RNA
Rfam family: Bacterial small subunit ribosomal RNA
Source: RNAcentral
AUUGAACGUUGGCGGCAGGCCUAACACAUGCAAGUCGAGCGGAUGAAGGGAGCUUGCUCCUGGAUUCAGCGGCGGACGGGUGAGUAAUGCCUAGGAAUCUGCCUGGUAGUGGGGGAUAACGUCCGGAAACGGGCGCUAAUACCGCAUACGUCCUGAGGGAGAAAGUGGGGGAUCUUCGGACCUCACGCUAUCAGAUGAGCCUAGGUCGGAUUAGCUAGUUGGUGGGGUAAAGGCCUACCAAGGCGACGAUCCGUAACUGGUCUGAGAGGAUGAUCAGUCACACUGGAACUGAGACACGGUCCAGACUCCUACGGGAGGCAGCAGUGGGGAAUAUUGGAUAAUGGGCGAAAGCCUGAUCCAGCCAUGCCGCGUGUGUGAAGAAGGUCUUCGGAUUGUAAAGCACUUUAAGUUGGGAGGAAGGGCAGUAAGUUAAUACCUUGCUGUUUUGACGUUACCAACAGAAUAAGCACCGGCUAACUUCGU